UGUUCCGAUAACUAAUCAUUCCUUAUUCUUAAAUCAAUUGAUAAAUGUACGUUAGGUUGUUCUUUACUGCCAAGCAAUCCUAAGAACAUCAAUAUGAUUUAACUUGUCAAUGACCUUGAGAGCUAGAAAGACUCAAUUCAAGUUGGCAGAUUCAUCAUCGUGAACCAAAUAACUAGAUGACUUGCCUCCUCAGUGGACAUUGAUUGCUAUUAGGUGCCAGAAUCGCUCAAACAAUUACAACUUGGAGGAGUUCAACUAGCUACUUGCUGUUUCUCUUCUCGUAUAAUAGGUCCUGUUUAAACGGGUUCAAAACAAAAAAU
This 320-nucleotide long non-coding RNA is filed under the name Carica papaya (papaya). RNAcentral's name for it is "long non-coding RNA (CPAP_LNC003811)". Lineage: Eukaryota; Viridiplantae; Streptophyta; Magnoliopsida; Brassicales; Caricaceae. The record is from RNAcentral.